AGUGAACGCUGGCGGUAGGCCUAACACAUGCGAGUCGAACGGCAGCACAGUAAGAGCUUGCUCUUACGGGUGGCGAGUGGCGGACGGGUGAGGAAUACAUCGGAAUCUACUUUUUCGUGGGGGAUAACGUAGGGAAACUUACGCUAAUACCGCAUACGACCUACGGGUGAAAGCAGGGGAUCUUCGGACCUUGCGCGAUUGAAUGAGCCGAUGUCGGAUUAGCUAGUUGGCGGGGUAAAGGCCCACCAAGGCGACGAUCCGUAGCUGGUCUGAGAGGAUGAUCAGCCACACUGGAACUGAGACACGGUCCAGACUCCUACGGGAGGCCGCAGUGGGGAAUAUUGGACAAUGGGCGCAAGCCUGAUCCAGCCAUACCGCGUGGGUGAAGAAGGCCUUCGGGUUGUAAAGCCCUUUUGUUGGGAAAGAAAAGCAGCAGGUUAAUACCCCGCUGUUCUGACGGUACCCAAAGAAUAAGCACCGGCUAACUUCGUG
This 492-nucleotide ribosomal RNA is filed under the name uncultured bacterium. RNAcentral's name for it is "partial 16S ribosomal RNA". It matches the Rfam family "Bacterial small subunit ribosomal RNA", at positions 29 to 507 of the family's 1533-position model. The record is from RNAcentral.